GCCGGUCUCGUCUCUACAUCGCGGGCGAGCGGGAGGAGGAAGAAGGAGCCAGGCCAGGCGGGCCCCAUCUCCACGCGGCCCCACCUGUCGGCGGGCAGGCGUUGACCCCGCCUGCCUAGCUGGAUAAGUGAUGGGCCCCACAGCCCGUGGGACCCGCACGUCAGCGACCCCACGCCCGGCCCCGCCACUGUCCACGUGGAUAAGUGGAAGCGUACUUCGCAGAAGUACGUUUUCGCCUUCAGAAAGCGUGUUUCUCUUCUGCUCCAGUCGUAAGUGCGCUUUCAUAGUUUGAAAACUAUUUUCUUCUUAGGCGCCUUCUGUUUUCUCACUCAGGGGCCUGUUUGUAGAGAUUCUUUUACAAAUCGGUCCCUGAACUUCGUCGGGCUAUAUCUUUUUACUCCCAACUCCAAAUGAGGUGAUUCCAAAGCCCAUUUCUUUGUCUCGUCGAGCCCGUUCUGUUGGUUUCAUUUUCACUAUGGUUUGACACUGUGAAAAUGACCCUUUUUCCCUUGCCCGUAAACAGCCCCUCCGAGAGAGAACUGUUUCUGGCAAAUCUUUCCGCGAGCUUCUCGCACUUCUUCCCUGUGUUUUCUUCAUCCCCAGGCAAGCCACAAUACCCACUUGCAUGAUAGUCAUGCAGUAGCCAUGGUUUUCAACUUGAAUAUUUAUUAAAUGAUUGCUUGUUUAAAAUAUGGUUAUCGUUGUUUUGGUAAUGCUUCUGGGUUAGUGCUUACUUGCUUGAUAUGUUGUUAUGCACCUGGUUAUCAUGCCCUGCUAGUUGCUAGUAUUACUUUCAUAUUUCCAUGCUUGAUAGUAGUACAUGUUGGGUUGGUCAUGUUCUUCGGUGCAUGAUUAACGUCGGUUAUCGAGUACUGUUAAUAUGCGUUCUUCCUUUGCUGUUAGUUGGUUAAGUGUUACUCGGUAAUGUUAUUGAUGAGUUCUUGCAUGGUAUUUAUGGUUGAUGCUAGUGGUCAUGUUUUACUAUGAGUAGUGUUGCACUUGUAAUAGUUAUGCUCGUCAUUAUGCCAUGUUCAGUUGGAGAUUAUUCAUAGUUGAUAUGGUGGAUCGUUAUGUUGUACCCUCAUGCUUAUGUUGAUCUCAUGCUCAUGCUUUGUAUAUGCAUCAUGUUAUUUUAUCAUGGCUCAGCAUAUUGCAUUCAAGUUUAACCAGAUUAAGUUCAACUUGAACAACUGUUGGCUGAGUCAUGGUGCCACCAUAUCGAAACUGACCAGUGCAACCACGCUUACCUUAUGGGAAGGUCCUAACUGGGUCUAUUGUCGUGCCUCUCGCCGGUGCCUCCAACGAGGGAAGGUUAUGGGCGCGCGCUACCCUGAUCAGGUAGGCGGACAUAACCUUGUGUGCCCGUUGUUGUUAUUAUGGAUCCGGUCCCCGUGAGGGACGUUUUGGCCACGACAGUGGUCGUUGUGUCUUUGGUAGAUACGGGGCCACCCAGGACUAGCCCAGUUGGGAGUGGGUCGGAGUGGCCGGGAGAGUGUCAUGGCAAUAGAUCGGUUUUGUCGGAAUGCCAUUGGUCCACCCGAAUGGGAGUGCGAGGCCAUGGGUUCCGUGGUGUGGGUACAGUGUACUAACCUCUGCAGAGUGUAUAUUAAAUCUAUCGAUAGCCGCGCCCGCGGAUAAGGGCCCAGUUCGUGUCGGUCACACCGUGAGUCAACAGUAUUAAUAAUAACUUGAUUAAUGACAACCCCGGUUCGAUGAUGAGAUAAGUUGGUUGUGAUCGCCGGAAAGAUCACCGUUUGAGACCAAGUGUUGGUCAUGGUUGUGAUCGCCGAAAUGAUCACCGUGGUAUCGAGGAUACCGAGUUGUUGGAUAUUCGUGAUGUUGUGCGAGAAUCAUGGGUAAAGAUCAAGCUCCUUGUGGUCAUUUAAUGAUUACUACGGUAUUGUUGAUACCAAGCUUGAUUUGAUCCUGAGAUGAUUGUGUGAUGUCCGAGGUUGGUAAGUGAUGCAUGUGAUGGUUACGUAGUAAGCCGAGCAGAAUAAAUAGUGCAUAUAGUGUCUUCAUGUUGCAUGCUAGUAUCGUCGAAUUCAUAUGUUCAUGCUAUGCUCAUGUUGUUCUAGCUGUAUCAUGUUCAUGUUGCGCAAGUCAUGUUGUUACGAGGAUCUCAUGUUAAUUCCUCCUUAACCUGUAAAUGCCAUGCUGAUGUUUGUCUUGAAUGCUUCUGGUUAAUGUGAGCUUGCAAGUACAUUCAAUGUACUGACCUGGCAUGUCAUGCCAGCUUGCAGGUCGUGCCUGGAUUUCUUGCUUGUUUGGUGUUGUUCCUGUGUUUGCGAGCUAGGAUAAGCAUUCCAGCCAGAGUCCCUGCGGAGUGGAGUUCACCACCGUCGUCGUUGUUCCGCCGCCAGUAGUUGUUGCGCUGCCUCAACUUGCUAUGCUGCUUGCAUAGAGCAACUGAGGAUGGCGUAGUGUCGUCGUGCCGAUGUUAUUCAUUGUAAUAUCGGAGACCUUGUAUUCAUAUUCGUGUAUUAAUAGAAAGCUGGUUUGUUCUAUGCUAAGCAGUGCCGUAUUCCAGAAGACUUCACCUCGAUCUCUAGGCUGGAAUACGGGGCGUUCCGGUUUUCUCUGAGCCGGGGUGCCACAGGCUUGGUAUCAGAGCAGGUCUGGCUGUAGGAUGCCCUAGCCCGCCCGAACGUUAGAAAGCGGUAGUAUAGACCCCAGUUGGUUUGUUGCAUUUGUUUGUCGCAUAGCAUGUAUAUAGAUUAUUAUUUUGUCACUAACGGUUGAUCUUGUGAGUGUAGGCGGCAUCGUUUUCGGUCCACCGCCUGCACCCUCCUUCUUAGCAUGCCUGCUCUUCGGUGUGAUUCGACCACAUCAUCAUCCAUUGCCCUCCAUCUCGUUCUUUUGGCAACCCUUGCUGAUCUUUGUUAUCAGAAAAGGGUAAUGCCAUUAAACCCCGUCUUCCACUGUUAUCUUGCCUUGUCAUUUCAUUCUUUGGACGGGUACGAUUCCCUUCGUACGCUUGAUGAUGAGGUGGUCGUGACUUUUGUGUCUCGCUACUUGAUCGUCAAGUCCGUCCUCACCUGUGUAUCCAUCCAGAUCCAGCCACUGUUCAGCCAGUGCUUGGUGUAGCUUCGGUUACGCCAACUCCUUCCACACAUGGAUAUAAUUUUCGUGCACACCGCCACAGCAUAUUAGACCGUAGUACCGGAGUUUCCAUGUGAUUAGUGUGCUUAGGUGUGCAUGCAUAUUAUGGUGUGAGUAGCAGUAAUAUGUGAAGAUUGCUUGAUUAAUUAUAUUAGUAGUAUGCUUGUGUGCUUUUGUUUUAGUUAUAUCUUUUGUUUGUUUCUUUGGGCCUUUGGUGUUACAAAUUUUCCCCUAUUAAAGUUGCUCGUCAGCCGACACCGGACCCGAAGAGUCAGCAAGAAAUGCAUAUAUUUGGAAACUCGGUUAAACAAGAAUGGAAUUGUCAGCAGACUGCAGUGAAAUUGGAAAUAGCUCGUCUGAAUACAAAAGAAAUCCUGGAUGGAAUGUCAGUAUAAAGUUUGCAUUAACAUGCACUCCUCACAACAGUAUGGAAUUCUCAGCCGACUGCAUUCAGAUUGGGGGAUAUCUGGUCAUGUUACUGAGUGUCAAGUCUCCCUCAGCGUGUACUCCUCAUAGCACAAAUGAUCAAAUCAGCAAGAAGAUAAAUUGUGUGCAUGGUUGAUAAAAUAUUAUCAAAGGUAUGGCUCAGAUACAAGUUUAAUUUUUCGUUGAGGAUCAUUUUGGAACCCGAUGUACCUGGAAGCAAGCAAAAAUAUGGCAUGUACUCAGAAAGGAGGAUAGUCCUGCAAAACCCCGUUUCAUACAAGAAAUCAAGAACAAAAAUUUUAAGAUGGUUAUAUAUGUGGAAAUCGGUUCGCAUAUCACAAUAAGAAGCUUCUGGUGUAAGAAACCCAAUCUUCCCUCGCAAGAUACCCGAGAAGCUUCCAAGGCAAGAUUCAUCUAUCUUCCUCAGUACGAUACAUGGAUGAUUUCCCGUACAAGGUACUCUGCCUUCUUCAGUAAGCUACCGCAAAAGCUUCCGGCAUAAGGUACCGAGUCUUUCCCCAGCAAAGUCUUUAAGGGGGUAAGCUUCUGAAGCACGAUACCCAGUCUUCUUCAGCAAGCUGUCCGAUGAAAGUUUCGAGCACAAACCAGCCAAUCUUCCUCAGUAAGACAUUGGUACAAGGUAGUAUGAUGUGAAUUGAUAGCAUAUGGCAGUGAAUCCCAAGAAUCAGAUCCGCAACAUUUAGGUCAGAAGCAAGAAUCAGUCAGAAUACAUGUCUGUCUCGGGAAUCAGAUUCUCAUAUAUAUGCGGUGAGCAUACCAGCAAGAUCUUACAAGUCACUCAGAUGAGGAUAUGACAACCACGUGAGGAUGGUUAAGAGAAGAAAGCCAGUAUACACCGCAGUGUGACAAAGGAUUAUGAGGAUUGACGACAUCAAUGGCUCAAUGCAAGUACCUGUGAACCUGGAAAAUGAUCCUGAUGAGCCCUUGUCCCCUUUUUUCUCCAAUGAUGGCACCAUGCCUGUGAUCUAAGCUGUUUUUAGCUAUCCGGGGUGGAUGCCGAUUUUUUAUUUCUCUCUUCAACGACUGUCACGAGUUCUGAGCUGCUUUUCGGCCGUCUCAUACAGCUGUUGAGUUUCUUUUUGUGACAGUAGCCCUAUAGCUGCUUUUUGGCUAUUUUAGGGAGCUGCCACCUUCUUCUUAUCAACCCGAUCUCAUGUUCUGAGCUGCUUUUCGGCCGUCCUGCGCCAUGGUUGAGUUAUUUCAGUAAUGUCCCAGAUCUGAGUGGUAAAGACCAUUCUGGUGGCUACUGAUUUAUUUGUCGAUUUCUUGCAAAGGUUUGGAUGAUCAUUUUCCUGCGGUCAGAAUUUGAGGGGUGUUGAACCUGCCAUUUAAUGGGGUACCCUGUCAGAAAAAUGAGGAUAAGCUGCGAUUGCCGAAAAAUUGCACUGACAGUACCUAUGGUGAUACGAAGAAGCAAUAUGACCCAGCUCUUUCAGCCAAGGAUCCUGGCCAAGAAAACAAUAAUGAAGGAGCAAGACCAGUGAUGCAGGUAUGAAAAUUGUUGCAAGACCCGCGUGGUGCAGAACCACCGUCAGUCAAGUCUACAGAUAUUAUCAUACAAGUCAAACUCUUAUGCUAGCCACGACAGGCGACAAUCAAAUAUUUGGUACGGAUCCGAUACUCAAGACAGUGGAACCAGUUAAGAUGAUUCAGAAACUUCCGCGAUAAGCCAGAAUUUGUCAGGAAAGCGGUUAUGACCCAACUCGCUGUUUGGAACCCGAAGGACCUGCAUUUAGUGGAGAAACCCAAUGCAAGGAUUUAGAGCUUGGGUGUCCACUAGAAAAAAUCUGAUCACCACUUCAUGAAAGAUUGUCAAUGCCGGAUGACACACCCAGCAGAAAUCACUCUUGGAUUUGUGAAACCGACGUAUAUUUCAGUCGUGAGAAUCCAUCACAGUCAGCUAAGUCAGCAGAUCUAAAAAGAAAUUGGAGCCUGUAUAAGCAUGAACAAGCAAGGUAAGAUCUGUCAGAAUAUGGAUAUAUUAAAGCAAACCACCCCAGGACCAGUCAGAUAAAAAUUUAGGGGGGACAAAAAUAAGAAAAAGGAUACCCGAGUUGGAAACGGUUUCCUUAAGUCAGUAUCUUCAUACUUGUUCCCUGAGCAACCAAAUCUCGAGGACGAGAUUUCUUUAAGGGGGUAAGGUUUGUAACAGCCUGAUUUUUGGCCCUUUCUUUUUCUUUUGUUUUUCUGAGGUUUUUGCUUGAGUUUUCUUUUUCCGUGGCUUUGUGGUCUGGAAACUGAACAAGAUGCCCUCUUGUUUAUUUCCAGAGUGGCUUGUCAUUCCCAAAUCCUUCCCUAGACCCCGUCAUUUUCAUCCUAGCCCAAAUCCCAAUAUUCUUUUCAUUGGGAAUAUUCCUUUUCUACUAAAGGAAUAACUCAAGUUGCCCUAGGUUGUGAAGCAACCUUUACUUCCAUCACUCCUAAAAUUCCCAAAUAAUUCUCAUAAAUUUUUUGGGUCAUAUCUUUCCCAAAUAUGGUAAAAUAUUUCAUUUGUCAUGUUUAUCAUCAUGCUCAAAUAAUUCAUUUCCUAUUCUACCCUAAAUGGCACAUUGUGAAGCAAGUGCUAUUUUCCUUUUCCCAAGUGACCUCAAACUCCUUGGACACCUUUUCCUGUCCAUAUCAUUGCCACAUGCCAAAAUUCAACCUCAUUUGGCUAGUAAUUAUUUAAUUAUGAUUUUCCAAAGUUUCUAUCCAGAAAGAAGCUUUGUGAAGGAGGUGCAAUCUAGGCAUAUCCAAAUGAGUUUCCAUUUUGCAUGAUCCCUCAUAUCAUCAUAUCAUAGCCCACCACCAAAGUAGAGCUCAUGUCAUGCCUCCAUGUGAGCUCAUCUUCAAUUCUUUGAUUUUGUCCAAACUUUCAGCUUGUGAAGCAAGUAUAUUUUAUCUUGCUCCAUUAUGGCUGCCAAUUUUUCUAGGCCUUCUGUUAUCCAUAUAACCUACCUCCACCCAUUUUGGGCAUCUCUCAUCAAGCCAUUAUUUCUCUAGAAUGUUUCCAAGAUUCUGCACAGAAAUGAUGUUUGUAAAGAAAGUACCAUUUUAGAUGGUCCAUUUGGUAUGAGCUUUUUACAGCAUCUUUAUAUUUCCAUAUCAUGAGGAUUUGCCAAGUUGCAUCCCAUUCCAUAACUCCAUGUGAGUGCAUCAUCCAAAUCAAGUUUCUGGACCAAAAAUGCAGUUGCAAAGCAACCCUAUUAUUUAUUGGUCCAUUUCUUCUCUAAAUCUCCAGUAUUGUAGUUCUUCCUUAGUUAAACCUCCCAGACAACUCCUUUGACCUCAAUCAAGUCUCUGUGGAUUAGCAGUGCUCGUCCAAGUUUACUGCAGUAAACUUCAGAGCUUGAUUACCAUUUAACCAGAGAGAUUUUAACCAAACUACCACCGCAGUAGGAACCUCCCCUGGAUGAACUUGCCACUAGACAACACGCUCCAGCUCAUUUCCCCCGCUACAUGCCAGUGCACGCGGUGACCGCGUUAAUGGCAAGCCUGUGCGCGCGCUCUGCUACAAUUGGCCACACCGAGGAUGGAUUCUUGCUCGGGCCCCUCCUCCUCUCAUCGUCUUAGCACGCGUGAGCAUGUCCCUUGGCUUCACCUCGUCGUCGCCGAUCACAUGGACCCCGCUCCCCCUCAGGCAGCUUCCUCACCGACGAAAGCCGCAGCGUGCCCACGGGCGCACAGUGGCGUUUGGCUCGGUUCAUCGCCGUCGCCUUCCUCCCUGCGCUCCGUUGGCCUCCUCUGCCCCGUGAGACACUCCACUGCUCCUCCCCCGUCGUCUACCAGCGAGCUCAUGCGCGUGCACACGCGUCCGCGGCACCGGACACGCGUCCGCGGCGGCGCCAGCGCGACACUCCCUCGCCCGGCUAUAUAUAGCCAUCCCCGCGGCCUCCCGAGCACCUCAUCAGCCUCGCCUCACUCCCAGCUUCCUCCUCGUCCACUAGCCCGAGCUCGAGCAGCUCUCCUCGACCCCCAUCGCCGCCAUGCCCGCCGCUCUGCUCAGCUCAAAUUCGAGCUGGGCAGUGCCCCUCCCCCUCUCUUUCCACCACCAGUAGACUCCUCCUCCACCUAGACUUCGCCCCCGUGCUCUCCCUCCCCUCCGGUGGCCUUCUGCCAUGAGCUCGCCGCCGACCGAAGAUCGCCGUCCGCCGCGGCUGGCCUCCCGCUCAGCCGAGCCCUACCCCGCGGCUGCAUCUUGCCUGGAUGGAUCCGCCUCGUCGCGCUGAUCAUGCCGGUAGGUCGCACGCCGCGAGAGGUGGCCGGAGUGGCCGGGAAUCCGCGUCGGGCCGUCGGUCUCGUCUCUACAUCGCGGGCGAGCGGGAGGAGGAAGAAGGAGCCAGGCCAGGCGGGCCCCAUCUCCACGCGGCCCCACCUGUCGGCGGGCAGGCGUUGACCCCGCCUGCCUAGCUGGAUAAGUGAUGGGCCCCACAGCCCGUGGGACCCGCACGUCAGCGACCCCACGCCCGGCCCCGCCACUGUCCACGUGGAUAAGUGGAAGCGUACUUCGCAGAAGUACGUUUUCGCCUUCAGAAAGCGUAUUUCUCUUCUGCUCUAGUCGUAAGUGCGCUUUCAUAGUUUGAAAACUAUUUUCUUCUUAGGCGCCUUCUGUUUUCUCACUCAGGGGCCUGUUUGUAGAGAUUCUUUUACAAAUCGGUCCCUGAACUUCGUCGGGCUAUAUCUUUUUACUCCCAACUCCAAAUGAGGUGAUUCCAAAGCCCAUUUCUUUGUCUCGUCGAGCCCGUUAUGUUGGUUUCAUUUUCACUAUGGUUUGACACUGUGAAAAUGACCCUUUUUUCCCUUGCCCGUAAACAGCCCCUCCGAGAGAGAACUGUUUCCGGCAAAUCUUUCCGCGAGCUUCUCGCACUUCUUCCCUGUGUUUUCUUCAUCCCCAGGCAAGCCACAAUACCCACUUGCAUGAUAGUCAUGCAGUAGCCAUGGUUUUCAACUUGAAUAUUUAUUAAAUGAUUGCUUGUUUAAAAUAUGGUUAUCGUUGUUUUGGUAAUGCUUCUGGGUUAGUGCUUACUUGCUUGAUAUGUUGUUAUGCACCUGGUUAUCAUGCCCUGCUAGUUGCUAGUAUUACUUUCAUAUUUCCAUGCUUGAUAGUAGUACAUGUUGGGUUGGUCAUGUUCUUCGGUGCAUGAUUAACGUCGGUUAUCGAGUACUGUUAAUAUGCGUUCUUCCUUUGCUGUUAGUUGGUUAAGUGUUACUCGGUAAUGUUAUUGAUGAGUUCUUGCAUGGUAUUUAUGGUUGAUGCUAGUGGUCAUGUUUUACUAUGAGUAGUGUUGCACUUGUAAUAGUUAUGCUCGUCAUUAUGCCAUGUUCAGUUGGAGAUUAUUCAUAGUUGAUAUGGUGGAUCGUUAUGUUGUACCCUCAUGCUUAUGUUGAUCUCAUGCUCAUGCUUUGUAUAUGCAUCAUGUUAUUUUAUCAUGGCUCAGCAUAUUGCAUUCAAGUUUAACCAGAUUAAGUUCAACUUGAACAACUGUUGGCUGAGUCAUGGUGCCACCAUAUCGAAACUGACCAGUGCAACCACGCUUACCUUAUGGGAAGGUCCUAACUGGGUCUAUUGUCGUGCCUCUCGCCGGUGCCUCCAACGAGGGAAGGUUAUGGGCGCGCGCUACCCUGAUCAGGUAGGCGGACAUAACCUUGUGUGCCCGUUGUUGUUAUUAUGGAUCCGGUCCCCGUGAGGGACGUUUUGGCCACGACAGUGGUCGUUGUGUCUUUGGUAGAUACGGGGCCACCCAGGACUAGCCCAGUUGGGAGUGGGUCGGAGUGGCCGGGAGAGUGUCAUGGCAAUAGAUCGGUUUUGUCGGAAUGCCGUUGGUCCACCCGAAUGGGAGUGCGAGGCCAUGGGUUCCGUGGUGUGGGUACAGUGUACUAACCUCUGCAGAGUGUAUAUUAAAUCUAUCGAUAGCCGCGCCCGCGGAUAAGGGCCCAGUUCGUGUCGGUCACACCGUGAGUCAACAGUAUUAAUAAUAACUUGAUUAAUGACAACCCCGGUUCGAUGAUGAGAUAAGUUGGUUGUGAUCGCCGGAAAGAUCACCGUUUGAGACCAAGUGUUGGUCAUGGUUGUGAUCGCCGAAAUGAUCACCGUGGUAUCGAGGAUACCGAGUUGUUGGAUAUUCGUGAUGUUGUGCGAGAAUCAUGGGUAAAGAUCAAGCUCCUUGUGGUCAUUUAAUGAUUACUACGGUAUUGUUGAUACCAAGCUUGAUUUGAUCCUGAGAUGAUUGUGUGAUGUCC
Molecule: long non-coding RNA, 9768 nt
Filed under: Triticum aestivum (bread wheat)
Lineage: Eukaryota; Viridiplantae; Streptophyta; Magnoliopsida; Poales; Poaceae
Description: long non-coding RNA (TAES_LNC019855)
Source: RNAcentral